RNAcentral lists this unclassified non-coding RNA (362 nucleotides) under uncultured fungus. RNAcentral's name for it is "partial contains small subunit ribosomal RNA, internal transcribed spacer 1, and 5.8S ribosomal RNA". The stretch from base 1 to 73 matches the Rfam family "Eukaryotic small subunit ribosomal RNA", at positions 1759 to 1831 of the family's 1831-position model. The record is from RNAcentral. Lineage: Eukaryota; Fungi.
GCAAACUUGGUCAUUUAGAGGAAGUAAAAGUCGUAACAAGGUUUCCGUAGGUGAACCUGCGGAAGGAUCAUUAAUGAAUAAACUUGGUUGGGUUGUUGCUGGCUCCUCUGGAGCAUGUGCACACUCACCAACAGUUUUUCUAAACCCCUGUGCACUUUUUGUAGACUAGGGCUCAUUGACGUUCAAGAAAUUGUUGUGCUUUUAUAGUCAGCAGUUUCAAAAUGUCUGCUUCUAGUCUAUGUUUUACAUUAUACCCCGAAUGCAUGUAAUUGAAUGUAUUGAUGGGCUUUCAAAGGCCUUAAAAUUAUAAUACAACUUUCAACAACGGAUCUCUUGGCUCUCGCAUCGAUGAAGAACGCAGC